This 404-nucleotide transfer-messenger RNA is filed under the name Candidatus Moraniibacteriota bacterium. It matches the Rfam family "transfer-messenger RNA". From Rfam's summary of the family: Bacterial tmRNA, also known as 10Sa RNA or SsrA, is named for its dual tRNA and mRNA-like properties. RNAcentral also lists the same sequence under 1 other name. Lineage: Bacteria; Candidatus Moraniibacteriota. The record is from RNAcentral.
GGGGUUGUUUAGUUUCGACAGGUUGUACUUUUCAAAAUAUGCAAGUCGAUCACCGCUGCUGUAUCGUAAAAAGUGUGGCGAAGAUAUAAGUGCAAACUUCAUAUCAAAGGCGAAAGCUACAUUUGCGCAAGCAUUUGCUGGUUUUUCACCUGCUUUAGCUUAGGCUCGAAGCCAUCGAACUGCUGAUUUCUCGUAAGCAGACCUCGGUGUCAAACAUGAGAAUAGUGUUUUGUGGUUUUUUGGACACAAAAUGCGAAAUAAUUCUGAAAACGGCAUUUAGAGGUUUUGUUUAUUCUCUACUCUAAUUAGUCGCACUCGCUUCGGUGAGAAAAAAUAAACUAAACUUGUAGAGGAUUUUGGAUUGUCAAUUUUGGACAUGGGUGCAAUUCCCAUCAACUCCACCA